AGCCGGCCAGGCGAUCGCGCGAGGCUUAAUCUAAGCCCGUGAGGAAAGUCCGGGCUCCAUAGGGCAGGAUGCUGGAUAACGUCCAGUGGAGGCGACUCCCAGACCAGUGCAACAGAAAUAAACCGCCGCGCCAUGGCGCGGUAAGGGUGGAAAGGCGGGGUAAGAGCCCACCGCUUCUUCGGUGACGAAGAGGGUCUAUGUAAACUCCAUCCGGAGCAAGACCGAACAGAAGGCGAUACGGCGGCCCGUCGUGCCUUCGGGUAGGUCGCGUGAGGUCCGCGGCAACGCGGAUCCAAGACAGAUGAUCGUCCAACGACAGAACCCGGCUUAUCGACCGACUUG
This 342-nucleotide RNase P RNA is filed under the name bovine gut metagenome. Its description in RNAcentral is "Bacterial RNase P class A". It matches the Rfam family "Bacterial RNase P class A". From Rfam's summary of the family: Ribonuclease P (RNase P) is a ubiquitous endoribonuclease, found in archaea, bacteria and eukarya as well as chloroplasts and mitochondria. Its best characterised activity is the generation of mature 5'-ends of tRNAs by cleaving the 5'-leader elements of precursor-tRNAs. Cellular RNase Ps are ribonucleoproteins. The record is from RNAcentral.